AAAUGGACUCUCAGCAACGGGAUAUCUUG
RNAcentral lists this ribosomal RNA (29 nucleotides) under Frullania chevalieri. RNAcentral describes it as "partial 5.8S ribosomal RNA". The record is from RNAcentral. Lineage: Eukaryota; Viridiplantae; Streptophyta; Jungermanniopsida; Porellales; Frullaniaceae.